AAUUAUGCGUUAGGGAUAGCAGUGAAAAUCCCGCAGUCCAAAUUUUAUUUGGACGAGGAAUUGUAACGAAUAGCCCGCUCGAAC
Molecule: small RNA, 84 nt
Filed under: Aquimarina brevivitae
Lineage: Bacteria; Pseudomonadati; Bacteroidota; Flavobacteriia; Flavobacteriales; Flavobacteriaceae
Description: Flavo-1 RNA
Source: RNAcentral